AGUGAACGCUGGCGGUAGGCCUAACACAUGCAAGUCGAACGGCAGCACAGUAAGAGCUUGCUCUUACGGGUGGCGAGUGGCGGACGGGUGAGGAAUACAUCGGAAUCUACUUUUUCGUGGGGGAUAAUGUAGGGAAACUUACGCUAAUACCGCAUACGACCUACGGGUGAAAGCAGGGGAUCUUCGGACCUUGCGCGAUUGAAUGAGCCGAUGCCGGAUUAGCUAGUUGGCGGGGUAAAGGCCCACCAAGGCGACGAUCCGUAGCUGGUCUGAGAGGAUGAUCCACCAACAUGGAACUGAGACACGGUCCCAACCCCCACGGGGGGGAGCCAGUGGGGAAAUUUGACCAUGGGCGCAAAGCUUAUCCAAGCCAACCGGCUUGGUUGAGAAGGCCUUUCGGUUUUAAAACCCCUUUUUUUGGAAAGAAAAGCAGCAGGUUAAUACCCCGCUGCUCUGACGGUACCCAAAGAAUAAGCACCGGCUAACUUCGUG
This 492-nucleotide ribosomal RNA is filed under the name uncultured bacterium. RNAcentral's name for it is "partial 16S ribosomal RNA". It matches the Rfam family "Bacterial small subunit ribosomal RNA", at positions 29 to 507 of the family's 1533-position model. The record is from RNAcentral.